CUUGGUCGAGGAGUCACUGUUCUUUCUGAACCUGGGGCAGAGUGGCAGGGGCAGUGAUUGAAAUGUCACUAUCAACCCCAGCAAAGGGUGGAUGCUGGACUGGAGUUAGGGAGUGGAAAACGGCACAGUGCCCUUCAGGAGUCUGUAAGGGCAGUGGGGAGCUUAUGCUUCAAGUGAUGAAGAGGAGAAGACAAGGAACCAAACUGGGCUCAAGGUGCUGAAACUAUAACAUCAUUAUGUAAAAAGGCUGCCAUUAUUGCUCUUGACAACUUAUGCCACUUCCAGUGGCCUUGCAGGAAUGGGAUAAAGGGCAGACAUUUUAAGGACAGAUAUUUUCAAUGAAAGCAAAGACAAAGAAGAAUGUGUCCAGGAAGCCUAUCUGGAAGGGACACCACACUGUGGGUUUGAGGUGGCCAAGAAGGCACCUGGAUGACAUCGGUGUCAGAUGGAAAGAGACGGUGAUGCCUUCUAGGACUCUGCUGCUUUCCAGCUCUAUUGAAGCACCAGAUGCAGUGGUUCAUUGAAAUUCAGUAAUGGGUUAAACCUCGAGGAGACAACAGCUUGUACUGCUUUGCUUUCCUCUCCACUGUGGCUGUUUGGUGGAGACACAGGGAGUGGGGGCAAUGAAGGUGAUGGAGGAAAAUGUUUCUCUUCUCUGAAGCAUCAGAACAGCUCCCUUAAUGGCCUCUUAUGUCUGAGUCCCAAGGUUUUCGUUCAAAAUGAUAAUAAAAGGACACCUCAAACCUACAGGGAAAACCCACUCACAUAGAGCAGCUUCGAGCCAAGCCUCUGGAGUCACCAAGCUGAAAAGAACCUGAUUAAUGACAGCACCUGAGAUAAGUGGCACUUUAACCAACCUUAACUGUUGAUGUAUGAUGACAUAAUGUCCCCUCCAAUUAAUGACAAGGAUAUAAAACACCUGUAUUUAGCAGAGCAGAUGCUGCUUUUAUGGUUAGAUGCGCAGAUGAAAUUGACUUCUAAAGGACCAUCUAUAACUUACUUCCCUAUUAUUUGUUUCUAUAUUUGUUUCAUUAUGUAUGUUGUAGGUGCAGGAGGAAAUUUAACCCUGGAUUUCACACCUGCACAGCCAAAAGUCAGAUGUUGGAUGAGACAUGAGAACCUGGGAGAGUCUGCGGAGCUGGGAACAGAGCAACCAUGGUGGAAUAGAGGCAAAGGAAAUGAACAAGGUCUUCAAUUCCCUGUGUCGCUCCUUGCUGUGUCCCCUGGACCCUAAGGGGACUUCUUUUUUUAAUUCUGGAUCACUUUAGGAUGUUUCCUCAUACUUACUGUGUUGUGUUCACGAUUUGCCCAAGUGUAUAUAACAAUGUUUUAUUCUGGACAGCACUCAGAGUGACCUUUCUUUUUGUAACUUUCUAUCUCUUUAUUGCUUUGUGAUACAGUUUUGAAAAAUCCUUGGCUCUGUUUUCCAUGUACUAAAUGUGUUAGAUCCUACUGCUAUGAAGAAAUACCUGAGACUGGGUAACUUAUAAAGAAAAGAGGUUUAAUUGUCCCCCAUUUCCACUGGCUAUACAGGAAGCAUGAUGCUGGCAUCUGCUUGACUUCUGGAGAGGCCUCAGGAAACUUACAAUAUGCUGGAAGGCAAAGCGGGAGCACACACAUCACAUGGCCAGAGCAGGAGCAAGAGAGAGAUGGUGAAAGCGCCACACACUUUUAAACAACCAGAUCUUGCAAGAACUCACCCACUAUCAUGAGAACAGCACAAAGAGGAUGGUGCUGAACCAUUCAUGAGUUAAACCAUCAUUUAAUAUCUGCAUGAUCUAAUCACCUCCCUCCAGGUCUCACCUCCAACAUUGGGGAUUGCAAUUCCACAUGAGAUUUGGGUGGGGACACAGAUCCAAACCAUAUCACUAAUGAAGACAUUCACUCCUUGACCUUGCUACUUUGCCAUUCUCUCUCAUCCUAUUACAUCCCAGAGAUGUUCUCACUUUCCUCCCUCUUUGCUUUGGUUCAAGUUGACCUCUUGCAAAUAUUUUUCCUUGUCCCAUUUCUCACUUUGUCAUAUUUCAUUGGCAAACUCCAAUUCUCAUGAAAUUCAAUUACCAACCUACUCUGUCCCUGCACCCAAACAACUGAAAAUUGUUGGGAAAAAAGAAAACACACUUGUGCUGCCAGUUCUUAUUUAAAAUUCCAUACCACAGACCUCCAAUGGGCACUCAACCAGAAUUUCUAUGAUGCUUCCCUGAUGUGGUUGCUGUACCAUGUUCUAAAACAACCGCUCCACAUUUUCCCCUCUCUCUGCAGACUGCCUUGCCUCCAACUCUGCCUCUCCAUCACCUGUGACUUCAGCACUUACUUUAUUCAGAAAGUCAAAUCAAGCAACAGGUAACUAACCUACAUAUCUACCAGCAUCUAUUCCUGAGCGUCGUCCCUUGGCUGUCUUUCCUGCUUCGGUAGAUAUAUGAAUGAGUCCUUGUGCCAGUGCUACUGCUACGUGUCUCUGUUGUCCUUCCCAACAAAUUUUUCCUGUGGUCGUUGUCGCAGUGAGCUCUCUUCUCCUUCUCUCCCAUUAGCUCCCUUCCUCACUGCUCUCCAUUAAAUGCUGUUGUCAAUAUGCCCAAUAACUUUAAUAUUGUGUAAUCCAGCUGUCCUCCUUUUGUCUUUAUCUUAAGUGACAUUUCAACCACAUUUGAAAAAAGUGACCACUUCUUCCUUCUUGAACAUAUGAUUUUUUUCCCUCUUAGAGACACUCUGCAUGCUGAUUUUCCAACUACCUCUCUGGCUGCUUCUUCUCCAGCUAACUCCUUCUCCUCUGUAGGACUCUGAAUAUUGAAGUCUAGGGUUCAGUACUGGUUUCUCCUCUUUUCUCAGAACACUCUCCUUCUAAAUAAUUUCUUCCAGUCCUCAAUGCUUUAAAUACCAUGUAUGUAUGAAUCAUGUACAUGCACACACACACACGCACACGCACACACACACGCACACACACACACACAGCCAUAUACAUACAUAUCCAUUUCUGGCCCCUUUUCUGAUUUCCAGAGUUGAAUAUCCAACUGGUUACUAAAUCUCUUCAUUCAAACAUUGGUUAGGCAGCUGAAAUUUAACAUAUUUGGAACAGAACCCUUACUUCUCCUGCCUAAGCUUGAUGUUCUCUUAGACAUUAGCAUUUCACGAAAGAGAACCACCAUUAACCUAGUUUCUCAUGCCCAAAGUGGAAAAAUACUUCUUAUAACUUUUCUUUCCUUUCUUGCCUACACCUAACUCAUCAUCAAGUCCUGUUGAAUCUAUCUUGAAAACACAACCUAACUCUGUUUCUUUCACUCCAUCUCCACUGCGUUCACAUUAUACCAGUGAUUCUCAACCCUGGCAAGCAAGCUUUUAAAAUUUGUUUAGGCCUUACCUCAAAACAAUUAAAUUACAACCUCUAAGACAGGGACAGAGCCUUAUUUAGGUUUUCUUUCCUUUUUUAAAGUUAUCUAGGUGGUCCUUGUAUGCAUCUAAGCUGGAAAGCAUUGCCUUCCUCCAAGCCACUAUCAUGCCUGUAUCAGUUUGUGUUCACACUGCUAUAAAGAACUACCCUGAGACUGGGUCAUUUAUAAAGAGAAGAGGUUUACAAGCACCACAUGUUCUCCCUCAUAAGUGGGAGUUGAACAAUGAGAACACGUGGACACAGGGAAAGGAACAACACACACCAGGGCCUGUUGGGAGAUGGGGGGGGAAGGGGAGAGAACUUAGAGCAGAGACUAACAGUUGCAGCAAAUCACCAUGACACACGUAUACCUGUGUAACAAACUUGCAUGCUCUGCAUAUGUAUCCUGGAAAUUAAAGCAAAAUAAAAAUAAAAAUAAAAAAUAAAUAAA
Molecule: long non-coding RNA, 3818 nt
Filed under: Rhinopithecus bieti (black snub-nosed monkey)
Lineage: Eukaryota; Metazoa; Chordata; Mammalia; Primates; Cercopithecidae
Description: lncRNA (ENSRBIG00000045741.1)
Source: RNAcentral